This 584-nucleotide ribosomal RNA is filed under the name Cibicidoides lobatulus. RNAcentral's name for it is "bacterial SSU rRNA". It matches the Rfam family "Eukaryotic small subunit ribosomal RNA", at positions 1220 to 1547 of the family's 1831-position model. The record is from RNAcentral. Lineage: Eukaryota; Foraminifera; Rotaliida; Anomalinidae.
GGGUCCGGACACACUGAGGAUUGACAGGCAAUAUUAAUACGUUUUGCUUCGGUAAACGCGUAUUAUGUUAAAUAUGCUAGUCCUUUCAUGAUUAUGUGAUAGGUGGUGCAUGGCCGUUCUUAGUUCGUGGAGUGAUCUGUCUGCUUAAUUGCGUUUCACUAAGGGCCUAUAAAUUUACGUGUGUUGCAUCGCACUUUGACCCCUUUCUUUAAUUAGAGAGCGCGUGUCUUAGUUUUCGCUUUGCUCAUACAAUUAGGUCCUGAAAGCAACGAACGUGACCGCAACCUCUUGUUGCCUUUAUACCAAACAUGUUUUGCGUCAAUUUUUACGAAUUGCGCGCAUUUCAUGAAAAAAGGCUUUUUAAACUAGAGGGACCGCUGUUACUUUCUUAGACCAGAGGAAGGUUGCGGCAAUAACAGGUCUGUGAUGCCCUUAGAUGUUCCGGGCUGCACACGUGCUACAAUGAUUAUUGCAGUGAGCAUCUCAUUUUUACACACCGCAUGCGCGAGUCCAUUUAUUCACCUUCGGGUGUUUUAAAUGUGUAUCUCUGCGCGCGGUAAAGCCUGCUUCGACAGUAAGUGGGU